This 253-nucleotide ribosomal RNA is filed under the name uncultured bacterium. Its description in RNAcentral is "partial 16S ribosomal RNA". It matches the Rfam family "Bacterial small subunit ribosomal RNA", at positions 524 to 776 of the family's 1533-position model. The record is from RNAcentral.
UACGUAGGGUGCAAGCGUUAAUCGGAAUUACUGGGCGUAAAGCGUGCGCAGGCGGUUCUGCAAGUCAGAUGUGAAAUCCCCGGGCUCAACCUGGGAACUGCAUUUGUGACUGCAUAGCUGGAGUGCGGCAGAGGGGGAUGGAAUUCCGCGUGUAGCAGUGAAAUGCGUAGAUAUGCGGAGGAACACCGAUGGCGAAGGCAAUCCCCUGGGCCUGCACUGACGCUCAUGCACGAAAGCGUGGGGAGCAAACAGG